Molecule: transfer RNA, 71 nt
Filed under: Spirochaetes bacterium GWF1_49_6
Lineage: Bacteria; Pseudomonadati; Spirochaetota
Also listed under: 1 other name
Description: tRNA-Cys
Rfam family: tRNA
About the family: Transfer RNA (tRNA) molecules are approximately 80 nucleotides in length. Their secondary structure includes four short double-helical elements and three loops (D, anti-codon, and T loops).
Source: RNAcentral
GGGGAUGUAGCCAAGUGGUAAGGCCGGGGCCUGCAAAGCCUUCACCGAGGGUUCGAUUCCCUCCAUCCCCU